UUUUAAAAUGAGAGUUUGAUCCUGGCUCAGGACGAACGCUGGCGGCGUGCCUAAUACAUGCAAGUCGAGCGAGCGGAACUAACAGAUCUACUUCG
RNAcentral lists this ribosomal RNA (95 nucleotides) under Lactobacillus crispatus. RNAcentral describes it as "partial 16S ribosomal RNA". It matches the Rfam family "Bacterial small subunit ribosomal RNA", at positions 1 to 95 of the family's 1533-position model. Lineage: Bacteria; Bacillati; Bacillota; Bacilli; Lactobacillales; Lactobacillaceae. The record is from RNAcentral.